This 274-nucleotide ribosomal RNA is filed under the name uncultured bacterium. RNAcentral describes it as "partial 16S ribosomal RNA". It matches the Rfam family "Bacterial small subunit ribosomal RNA", at positions 523 to 796 of the family's 1533-position model. The record is from RNAcentral.
AUACGGAGGGUGCGAGCGUUAAUCGGAAUUACUGGGUGUAAAGGGUGCGUAGGCGGCUUGAUAAGUCGGAUGUGAAAGCCCAGGGCUUAACCUGGGAAUUGCAUUCGAUACUGUCAGGCUAGAGUAUGUCAGAGGUUGGCGGAAUUCCUAGUGUAGCGGUGAAAUGCGUAGAUAUCAGGAGGAACACCAGUGGCGAAGGCGGCUAACUGGGGCAAUACUGACGCUGAGGCACGAAAGCGUGGGGAGCAAACAGGAUUAGAAACCCUAGUAGUCC